AAAAUAAUGUAUGUACAUUAAACUGCAGUAAAGUAAAAAAUAUGGACGCAAAAUAAUUUUAGAUGCAGCAGGUGCGCAGCGAAGCACUUCAACAAAUUACCGCUUUUUAGAGCUUUACAACGUUGCUUAAUGAGGAUGGAAUGGCUCAGGGGCGAAUAAGAUACCAACAAAUCAAAAUACGUAAACUAUUGUCAAUCAGACCGGAAGCUAAUUUUGAAAAAAAAAAAAAUUUGUUGAAAUAGAAGAGCAGGCUUUUCAUGUAUGGCAGAAAGAAGAAAUCUGAUAUAUGGCAAAGAAGAUACAAGUACCCUGGUGAGCGGAGAACUUAAAAGAGCUUCGAUUUUAAUGAAAUUUGAUCGGUUUUCAGACACGGCCCACCACAUAAUCAAAUGUUCGUAAAAAAGCGAUAAUGAAAAAAAAAUUAAAAAAGGCAUAUUUUUUACCGCAGAUAGUAAGAAUGUAAUAACUUCUAAAAAUGCAGACCCAGCCGCCAAUUUUUCGUUUUCUAUAUACAGUGGUGGAAAAAUAAACAAGACACGACAUUUUAACAAAUUUUUCUUAUUUUUCAUUAUCUAACAAA
Long non-coding RNA from Rhagoletis pomonella (apple maggot), 580 nucleotides. RefSeq lists it as uncharacterized. The transcript is spliced from 3 exons. The record is from RefSeq and is a predicted model, not a curated record. Lineage: Eukaryota; Metazoa; Arthropoda; Insecta; Diptera; Tephritidae.